Molecule: ribosomal RNA, 324 nt
Filed under: Aname sp. MYG186
Lineage: Eukaryota; Metazoa; Arthropoda; Arachnida; Araneae; Anamidae
Description: partial 12S ribosomal RNA
Source: RNAcentral
UCUGAGAUAGAAAGGGUAAUACUCGUAGGAAACCUUUACUCUUUGGCGGCCUUAUUUCUUAUUGGAGGAACUUGUCUAAUAAUCGAAGGUACCCGUUAAUUUUCACUUCUAAUUCGUUUUUAUACCGUCGUCUUAAGAGCAUUGUGAAAAAAAUUGUCCUAGCCUGGGCUCCUAACUAAGUCAGAUCAAGGUGAAGCUUAUAUAGAAGUUCUGGUGAGUUAUGAAUAAGUGCUACUAUAAGAUUAUUAUUAAAAAGUUAUUUGAAUUAAGAUUCAACAGUACCGCAAAAUUAAGAAUUUUUAGGGAAGAAGUAAAAAAAGGUGU